CUGACCUCAAAUCAGGCGGGACUACCCGCUGAACUUAAGCAUAUCAAUAAGCGGAGGAAAAGAAACUAACAAGGAUUCCCCUAGUAACUGCGAGUGAAGCGGGAUAAGCUCAAAUUUAAAAUCUGGCGGUCUAUGGCCGUCCGAGUUGUAGUCUGGAGAAGUGCUUUCCGCGCUGGACCGUGUACAA
This 187-nucleotide ribosomal RNA is filed under the name Dichomitus albidofuscus. Its description in RNAcentral is "partial 28S ribosomal RNA". It matches the Rfam family "Eukaryotic large subunit ribosomal RNA", at positions 1 to 184 of the family's 3401-position model. Lineage: Eukaryota; Fungi; Basidiomycota; Agaricomycetes; Polyporales; Polyporaceae. The record is from RNAcentral.